GAGGCCCCAGCAUCACCGCCAGCACUGUCCUCACUGACGGAGUCAACAUGAACACCUCAACACUCCUCAGCCGUCCCUUCCUGCUGGUGGUGGUUCUGGCGGUGUCUUGGGCCGCGGCUGUCCCUCUGCAGGACACGAGUCUCCUGCAGGACAUCCACUCGGAGACGCAGCUGCAGGAGUUUCUGGAGAACAAUCCUUCUGUGGCACUCCAGAUGUACCCUGACCUCCUCCGGGAAGCCUCAGAGGUGAUGGUGGUCGUCGAUCCGGACGUGGUGGUGGAGAUGCUGAGGCGGAGGAGCCUGGAGGCGGCGGACAUGGAGGAGCAGCAACAGCAGGAGCAGGAGGAGGAGGAGGAGGAGGAGCCACAGAAAGGAUCGGUGGAAGAGGAGGAGGAGGAGGAGCAUGACCGCAGGAAGAGACAGGCCACGUUCGGCUUUGGAAUGAAUCGAGGAGCCUACGGCAGGAACUACCAUGCCAGUGCGGGCUACAACCGUCGCUUCAACAACGGCAGGACCGCCGUCGGUGUCAACGCCCACAGGAACUGGGGCUCCAGCGGCAAGUAAGUCCUUGCUAGCAUUAGUAAACACAACACUGAUGGCAGAUGUACCGUGUUUAGUAGAUAAUUCAUGUUUACCUAACCUUGCUGAGGCAUGCCUCUCAUUUGACUCCUACUUGCCUCUUUGCAGAUCCCACGGGGUUGGAAUCAGCUUCUCGCACAGGUUCCGCCGCUAGAGGGCGUCGGGAACACCGGCCGGCACCACUGCCGAGAUGACACCUUACCGUACACCAAGUGGGCCGCUCUGCUGCCACGCUCAACUCCUACGAGACAUAAUGUUGUUCAUUAUAUAAGUGAACUGAUUUAUUAUGUACUUCUUUACAUAAUUACCGAAAAAUAUAUUUGUUUUUGGAUA
Eriocheir sinensis (Chinese mitten crab) is the source of this 911-nucleotide RNA transcript. RefSeq lists it as uncharacterized. The transcript is spliced from 4 exons. The record is from RefSeq and is a predicted model, not a curated record. NCBI's taxonomy places the organism in Eukaryota, Metazoa, Arthropoda, Malacostraca, Decapoda, Varunidae.